Odocoileus virginianus texanus is the source of this 1536-nucleotide non-coding RNA. Lineage: Eukaryota; Metazoa; Chordata; Mammalia; Artiodactyla; Cervidae. The record is from RefSeq and is a predicted model, not a curated record.
CUGUUUUAUUUUUUAAAUACUUUCUCUCUUCAAAACACCUGCUUUCUUUACACAUUGACUUCUAAAGGAAGAGAUUAAUUUUUAUUGGCAAGAACAGAAAAGUUAGUGUCAACAACAAGAAAGGAGAAGCUAUGCUCUAUAGAAGAGCUGCCUGCUACAUAAAAUAAUACCCAGGAAUAUCAACCCAAACCCACAGAUCCAAGUGAGGCCAACCCCGUUUUCCCACAUGAAAGCCACAGUGUGAUAAACCUCACUCCCUUGGAAUCGAGCUGCAGUUCUUAUUGUACCCAUGCGGCUACAGGACCCCAGUCCAGGGUGGCUGGAUUUCCAUUAGAAUUGCCUGUCCUUCACUGCCUUCUCCUCCACCCCUCCUGCGCCCAAGUCCAGUUAUUCAGUGAGUUAUAAUUUGGCACUAAAAUUCAAUUAAGCUGAAACUUUGGUCAUACGUGGUCUUUAUCUCAGCAAAGCAUAAUUUCUUUGACCCAUUUUCCAAACAUCAGCUGAUCGAUUUGAAAGCGGACAGAGGUAAAAGUUGAUUUCAAUCGCGCUCACAUUUGUAGAAAGUGGCUGGAGAAAAGAAAAAAAAAAACUUUUAAAACUUAAAAAAAAGAAAAACUUCAAAUAAACAGGAUGGGGAGUUACUUAUGAAACUGCUUGAGGUUUUCAUAGCCCUUGUCAAACGGAGACCUCGGCCCGCUGGGCAGACUUUAAUUAAUGUCCACUCCGGCCCUGCAAGCCAUUUUCCCAAUGGAAAUUCCGAUGAGAAAGGAAGGAAUGCGAGGUUCAAGGCCGCGCUGUUGUUGAGUGGGCUGCGGAACUGGGGACUGAAACCCCGCGGUUCCCCCAUGAGCCGCGAAAGUCUGUGGAAGUAUUGAGCACCCCUAUUGAGGACUGUGGGAGUCUGGGCGGCUUAAUGGGAUUGUGUUCGGUGCUUCAGGCUGUCCUUUAAAAGAUUCCAUGGCACCAGCGAAACUCCAAUAAUAGGGCCUCUCUAAUUGCUUUCUGACUUUCUAUGAAACUUUCUAAGCUAUGCUGACAUCCUCGACUACAACGACGGAAUUCAAGAGUGGAGAAAGGCGAGACAAAAAGUAGCUCCAGAAUUUAAAUGUACAUAUCACAGUCUACUGUCAAAUGUUGUACUUCACAUGUAAUGAUCUGAAACCAUCCGUGGGGCGGUUGGACGCACGCAUCUACACGUGGCUUUCCAGGGUGGCGUCUUCGCCGCGCGCAGAAAUCCUGUUCUUCAGAGCCCUUUGCCGCGUUCCACCGGGCCUCCCCCACCCCCACUGUGCCCACCCCCGCUAAUGGGCUUGUUUCCGUGAACACUGAAGACGAAAAACAUGCGAUUUUGAAUGUGUCUCUUUCACGGCCACACAUUUCUUUUCAUUGUGCGUCUGGGCUGAGCCACGCUUCCAAUUCCCAGGGACCCUCCUGGGCCCCGCUUGCAGAGGACUCUGCAGUCCGACAGCCUCCCCCGAGAGCCAGAGGUCGCUGGACCCUGGAUUGCGUAGGGUAUCUCUGAAAGCACUCUCAAUA